UGUGUGUGUUAGUGGAAGCGUCUGGAAAGGCGCGCGAUACAGGGUGACAGCCCCGUACACAAAAAUACACAUAUUGUGAGCUCGAUGAGUAGGGCGGGACACGUGGUAUCCUGUCUGAAUAUGGGGGGACCAUCCUCCAAGGCUAAAUACUCCUGACUGACCGAUAGUGAACCAGUACCGUGAGGGAAAGGCGAAAAGAACCCCGGCGAGGGGAGUGAAAAAGAACCUGAAACCGUGUACGUACAAGCAGUGGGAGCACGCUUAGGCGUGUGACUGCGUACCUUUUGUAUAAUGGGUCAGCGACUUAUAUUCUGUAGCAAGGUUAACCGAAUAGGGGAGCCGAAGGGAAACCGAGUCUUAACUGGGCGUUAAGUUGCAGGGUAUAGACCCGAAACCCGGUGAUCUAGCCAUGGGCAGGUUGAAGGUUGGGUAACACUAACUGGAGGACCGAACCGACUAAUGUUGAAAAAUUAGCGGAUGACUUGUGGCUGGGGGUGAAAGGCCAAUCAAACCGGGAGAUAGCUGGUUCUCCCCGAAAGCUAUUUAGGUAGCGCCUCGUGAAUUCAUCUCCGGGGGUAGAGCACUGUUUCGGCA
Molecule: ribosomal RNA, 594 nt
Filed under: Shigella sonnei
Lineage: Bacteria; Pseudomonadati; Pseudomonadota; Gammaproteobacteria; Enterobacterales; Enterobacteriaceae
Description: partial 23S ribosomal RNA
Rfam family: Bacterial large subunit ribosomal RNA
Source: RNAcentral